Molecule: transfer RNA, 74 nt
Filed under: Cricetulus griseus (Chinese hamster)
Lineage: Eukaryota; Metazoa; Chordata; Mammalia; Rodentia; Cricetidae
Rfam family: tRNA
About the family: Transfer RNA (tRNA) molecules are approximately 80 nucleotides in length. Their secondary structure includes four short double-helical elements and three loops (D, anti-codon, and T loops).
Source: Rfam by way of RNAcentral
GGGAAUGUAGCUCAUUUGGGAAGAGUGCUUGUCUAGCAAGCGUGAUGCGCUGGGUUCAAUCCCCAGCAUCUUCA